AUUGCGUAAUAAAUGUGCAUAAAAUCGCAAACUUUUGUCGGGAGUGUCGAUUAAAGUGACGGGCGAUUGUUGAGAGGUAUGUAUUUAUCGCGAAUAUUCAUAAUUAACUACGUUUCAUCGAUUGUCUGGUCGUCCGUAAAUUGAAGCAGGUUAGAAUAUCAGUGUAACUUGCAGAAAACUCAGGACGUCGGAUUUAUAUCGAGUAAUGAUCGUGCAUACACACGCACACGCACACACAACACCCGCGUACGUAUCCGCGUACAUAAUGGCUUUUAUUUUUAGGCAAGACUAUCAUUAUUUGUUUUAUUCAUUAUGAGUGUACAUUGUAGAAUCAAUCGUUAAAUUUAUAUCGUUUUAUACUAUAAUUAUAUGUAUGGAUGUGUCGCGACACAAAGUACGUUUAACUUGUAUUCGUUUCACGUACCGUAGCGUGUCAAAUUCGUGAUGUUAAUUCGCAUAAAGUAUACGGGUUAAUUUUCUUUCGAUAGUUGGUUUCGAAACAGAGCAAUUAUCAAACAUUUAUUUAUUCGAAACCGACUCGUAGCGUUGGGGUUGUUUUCGUCGUUACGCUUAGUAUGCGCGCACAUCCUCUUUCUCUCUCUCUCGCGCGCGCGUUCGUGUAUCAACGUAAACAUUGUGGCCCCCACUUCUCGCAUUCCUUUAAGUCGGAAUCGGCACGACCUUGUGUUUCUCAUUGUACCAUUAUUAUUCGCACGGCGGCACUUAUACGAGGUAAAUGUGUAUCGGCGCGUUAUCGUCUUCAAUAAUACCAUUAUUAUUUCUUACAGUUUUCCGUAUCAUGUUUUUCUGUCUAAUCUAUCGCGGAGAGUGUCGAACACGUAGUCCGUGCAAUAAUAUUUCAGUUACAUCUUUGUCUUAAAAUGACAAAGGACGCGUUGGGAGUAUCGCUUAAAAUAUCGGGCGAUUUUCAUAUGUGCGACGCGAACGCGAGUGAGUGCCUUGCACUGCGAGGACUGAGAGGAGGAGGGGGCUCAGAAGGAGCAUCGGGCGCGGGGGAACAACGUUUGCAUCAACUUUGUGCGCGUA
This is a non-coding RNA of Linepithema humile (Argentine ant), 1047 nucleotides long. The record is from RefSeq and is a predicted model, not a curated record. Lineage: Eukaryota; Metazoa; Arthropoda; Insecta; Hymenoptera; Formicidae.